UACGGAGGGUGCGAACGUUAAUCGGAAUCACUGGGCGUAAAGCGCGCGUAGGCGGUCUGUUAAGUGGGAUGUGAAAUCCCCGGGCUUAACCUGGGAAUUGCAUUUCAAACUGGCCGACUAGAGUACGGUAGAGGGAGGUAGAAUUUCCUGUGUAGCGGUGAAAUGCGUAGAUAUAGGAAGGAAUACCAGUGGCGAAGGCGGCCUCCUGGAUCGAUACUGACGCUGAGGUGCGAAAGCGUGGGGAGCAAACAGG
This 253-nucleotide ribosomal RNA is filed under the name uncultured bacterium. RNAcentral describes it as "partial 16S ribosomal RNA". It matches the Rfam family "Bacterial small subunit ribosomal RNA", at positions 524 to 776 of the family's 1533-position model. The record is from RNAcentral.